GUCUGCCUACGGGGGGCAGCAGUGGGGAAUAUUGGUCAAUGGUCGGGAGACUGAACCAGCCACGCCGCGUGAGGGAUGAAGGUACAGAGUAUCGUAAACCUCUUUUGUCAGGGAACAAAGGCGGGGACGUGUCCCCGGAUGAGUGUACCUGAAGAAAAAGCAUCGGCUAACUCCGUGCCAGCAGCCGCGGUAAUACGGAGGAUGCGAGCGUUAUCCGGAUUUAUUGGGUUUAAAGGGUGCGAAGGCGGUCUGUUAAGUAAGCGGUCAAAGCCCGGGGCUCAACCCCGGCCGGCCGUUGAAACGGG
This 305-nucleotide ribosomal RNA is filed under the name uncultured bacterium. RNAcentral's name for it is "bacterial SSU rRNA". It matches the Rfam family "Bacterial small subunit ribosomal RNA", at positions 333 to 636 of the family's 1533-position model. The record is from RNAcentral.